UACAGAGGUCUCAAGCGUUGUUCGGAUUCAUUGGGCGUAAAGGGUGUGUAGGUGGCGCCGUAAGUCGGGUGUGAAAUUUCGGAGCUUAACUCCGAAACUGCAUUCGAUACUGCGGUGCUUGAGGACUGGAGAGGAGACUGGAAUUCAUGGUGUAGCAGUGAAAUGCGUAGAGAUCAUGAGGAAGACCAGUGGCGAAGGCGGGUCUCUGGACAUUUCCUGACGCUGAGGCACGAAAGCCAGGGGAGCAAACGGA
RNAcentral lists this ribosomal RNA (253 nucleotides) under uncultured bacterium. RNAcentral's name for it is "partial 16S ribosomal RNA". It matches the Rfam family "Bacterial small subunit ribosomal RNA", at positions 524 to 776 of the family's 1533-position model. The record is from RNAcentral.